RNAcentral lists this ribosomal RNA (428 nucleotides) under Archiboreoiulus pallidus. RNAcentral describes it as "partial small subunit ribosomal RNA". Lineage: Eukaryota; Metazoa; Arthropoda; Diplopoda; Julida; Blaniulidae. The record is from RNAcentral.
AUGUCCUUUUGAAUUAAAUAAAAGGUCUAACCUGCCCACUGAAUAUUAAAGGGCUGCAGUAUUAUGACUGUACAAAGGUAGCAUAAUCAUUAGUCUUUUAAUUGAGGACUGGUAUGAAAGGUUGAACGAGAAAUUUCUGUCUCAAAAGUAUUUAAAAUGAAAUUUUCUUUAAUAUGAAAAGAUAUUAACGAAAUAAAGGGACAAGAAGACCCUUUUAAGCUUAAAUUAAGAAAAUUAAAGAUUAAUAUAUAAAUAAUUUAUUUUUAGUUGUGUUAAUUUUACUGGGGCGGUGGAUAAUAAACAUUAUUGAUAAUAAAUGAUUAUAGUUAAAAUAGCUAAGAGCGUGUAUUACGGAUUUAAAGACAAAGUUACUGAAGGGAUAACAGCGUAAUGUUUUUUAGAGUUCUUAUUAACAAAAAUGUUUGCGA